Molecule: long non-coding RNA, 844 nt
Organism: Armigeres subalbatus
Lineage: Eukaryota; Metazoa; Arthropoda; Insecta; Diptera; Culicidae
Exons: 3
Source: RefSeq, a predicted model, not a curated record
AUUAUUCCAACAAAAGUUAUACUUCGUUGAAGUGCUAUAAGAAAAUUAUUGCUAGUUGAGCAAUUGAAAAUUGUAAUUAAAUAUACAAAGAUUGUAGUGCAGAUUGAGUGCAAUUGUUAAGGAAGCCAUUUUGAAAAUCGCUUUGCAUUUACUAAUUAUAAUUUGCGAUAAAUUAUAAGGUUAUUCCCGCUGGUCUCCACGGGUGCUAGUGCUGGUUCCGAAUUUGACAAAGAUCUGCGGUUCGAUAAACCACCCUGUGCGCAGACACCCCGCAAAUUGCACAUCCCUAUUUCUCUGUGGACGCUCACGCAAGCUUUCCCUUUGCCACGCGACAUCGGCCAAGGCUCCCUCGCAACAUAACUUUGAGCAUUCCGACUGGUUGCACAAUUGUCUGAUGACGUCAUCAUAACAUCGCACGUCUAAUCGCGCGCAAAGUGGAUCACGGUUAUGUUUGCCCCUGUUAGUUAGGCAACCCCAACAUACACAUCUUGGUAAACUAGAGCGUAGUGAGAAAACGGACCCUUCUCGACAACAGAGGUCCGGAGUUGAAAGGUGCGCGGUUCGGUGGACGACAAUUGCAACUGCACAGCCGCAUGCGCAUGCGAAGCAAGGCCACGUGGCAGCAGCUCAUCGGUGGAUUCGCGGAACCCUGGGGUUAUAGCCGGAAUAUUCAACGUGAUUUCGUGAAAUUUGCAGAUGGAAAAAGGUCAGAGAUUUUUAUUGUACAUAUUAUUAGCAUUAAGUAUCUAAAAUCUAGUGUAGGAAUCCAAACCAAAUAGUGGUGACGUCACCUUCAAGUGAGAUAGGCCUCUGUAUUGAAUAUUGGAACCAAUAAACAGGACUU